RNAcentral lists this long non-coding RNA (199 nucleotides) under Gossypium barbadense (sea-island cotton). RNAcentral's name for it is "long non-coding RNA (GBAR_LNC003260)". The record is from RNAcentral. Lineage: Eukaryota; Viridiplantae; Streptophyta; Magnoliopsida; Malvales; Malvaceae.
UAGUUAGCCAGCUUCUCUGGAAAUUUAAAAAAAUAAAUUGUUUGAGCUGUUUAAUUAAUGAAUUAAGUCCGUUAACACCUCGUGCUUGACUCCGGCGAUGGUCUCGGGUACGGGGGUGUUACAGUGAUACCUCCUUUCUUUGGCACACACUGGACCGGAUUUACCCAUGAACUGUUUCAAAUGGGGUAAAUUAUACCCG